GUGCUUGCUUUGGCAGCAUAUACACUAACAUUAGAACACAGAGAUUAGCAUGGCCCCUGUGCAAGGAUGACAUGUAAAUUCGUGAACCCUUCACUAUUUUU
RNAcentral lists this small nuclear RNA (101 nucleotides) under Ochotona princeps (American pika). Lineage: Eukaryota; Metazoa; Chordata; Mammalia; Lagomorpha; Ochotonidae. The record is from RNAcentral.